AGCAGCCGCGGUAAUUCCAGCUCCAAUAGCGUAUAUUAAAGUUGUUGCAGUUAAAAAGCUCGUAGUUGAAUUUCGGAAUCAAUAUGUUGGUCGUGCCAUUGGUACGCACUGGCAUUAUUGGUUUCUACCUUCUGAAGAACCUCGAUGUCAUUAAUUUGGUGUCUUGGGGAAUCAGGACUGUUACUUUGAAAAAUUAGAGUGUUUAAAGCAAGCUCGCGCUUGAAUACAUUAGCAUGGAAUAAUGAAAUAGGACGUUUGAUUCUAUUUUGUUGGUUUCUAGGAUUGACGUAAUGAUUAAUAGGGAUAGUUGGGGGCAUUAGUAUUCAAUUGUCAGAGGUGAAAUUCUUGGAUUUAUUGAAGACUAACUACUGCGAAAGCAUUUGCCAAGGAUGUUUUCAUUAAUCAAGAACGAAAGUUAGGGGAUCGAAGACGAUCAGAUACCGUCCUAGUCUCAACCAUAAACGAUGCCGACUAGGGAUCGGCGGAUGUUGCUUUUAGGACUCCGCCGGCUA
RNAcentral lists this ribosomal RNA (512 nucleotides) under uncultured Glomus. RNAcentral's name for it is "SSU rRNA". It matches the Rfam family "Eukaryotic small subunit ribosomal RNA", at positions 569 to 1086 of the family's 1831-position model. Lineage: Eukaryota; Fungi; Glomeromycota; Glomeromycetes; Glomerales; Glomeraceae. The record is from RNAcentral.